GACGAACGCUGGCGGCAUGCCUAAUACAUGCAAGUCGAGCGGAGUUAUGAUGGAGAUUGCUCCUGAUUAACUUAGCGGCGGACGGGUGAGUAACACGUAGGCAACCUGCCCUCAAGACUGGGAUAACUACCGGAAACGGUAGCUAAUACCGGAUAAUUUCUUUCCUCUCCUGAAGAGAGAAUGAAAGGCGGAGCAAUCUGCUACUUGGGGAUGGGCCUGCGGCGCAUUAGCUAGUUGGUGGGGUAACGGCUCACCAAGGCGACGAUGCGUAGCCGACCUGAGAGGGUGAACGGCCACACUGGGACUGAGACACGGCCCAG
RNAcentral lists this ribosomal RNA (320 nucleotides) under uncultured bacterium. RNAcentral's name for it is "bacterial SSU rRNA". It matches the Rfam family "Bacterial small subunit ribosomal RNA", at positions 28 to 334 of the family's 1533-position model. The record is from RNAcentral.